AGCCCUAAACGAGUCGCUAUAUUUUGACAGCUAAACCAACGAGCGAAAGGCGUGUAGAAUUAUAAAGAAACGAGUGAUGCACUCGUACUGUCAGUCUAAGUUAUCCUAAUGCAAUAAUUUUUUUCUACACUGCUACUUUGAAUAAAAUAAUUUAAGCUUCCGGAAUUGUAACAGGAAAUUUAUUAACAUAAGAAAGUGUUAAACUUCAAAAUGUUCCAUAGAAGCGGUUUAAGAUGAAGACACAAAUUUAUGUGUACUAAAAAUUAAAAUGUUUAAAGGGAAGAGAAAACAUGAAAACCAUUAAACUAUGCAUACACAAACAUACAAGUGCAGUCAAACAAAGAAGGUGAUGUGCACACAUUCAAAACGCGAAUUAAGUAGAAAUUUUAUGAUUCCGACACGAAAAUUUUUUCCGUUUCGCACUCGUUUCUGUCGUCUUUCUGCAACUACUUUUCAGCUUCGUUUGCUCGUUGAAUGGUUUUACUACCGCUGCAUUUGCUAUUCACGUCAACGGAAUGAAGAAUCGUUCAUAGUCAAAGGAUUUCUGUAUAGUUGACUUUAUCUAACAAACACUUUAUGCGGGAAAAGACAAACCUUUUUCAAACAGGAACCUUAAGUUAAACUGUGCUCUCGCUUUAGCAAAAAACGAUGCGUGGGAGAGAAUAAACUGAUGAUACUACAGACAGUAUUUGUAUACGUGAUGUGUCAAAGCGAAAUUUGCAGAAUAUAUAGCAUUGCCAGGCAAUACAAUUAAUAAA
Molecule: long non-coding RNA, 758 nt
Organism: Bactrocera neohumeralis
Lineage: Eukaryota; Metazoa; Arthropoda; Insecta; Diptera; Tephritidae
Exons: 2
Source: RefSeq, a predicted model, not a curated record